Molecule: long non-coding RNA, 96 nt
Organism: Gavialis gangeticus (Gharial)
Lineage: Eukaryota; Metazoa; Chordata; Crocodylia; Gavialidae
Exons: 3
Source: RefSeq, a predicted model, not a curated record
CCAGGGCAUGGAAAAAACUACUACCCUCUGCUCAAGGCAGGAGCAUCCCUGACUAAAUCAUCUCAACCAAGCAUCUGUCCAACCUGUUACUGAAAA